GCCCUCUUUUUUUUCUCUCGCUACUUCUUUCUCGCGUUUGGCCCUUUCUUCUCUCUCGAUCUCUUUCACAGGUGCUCGGUUGUGCGGUGUGGGAGCGAGAACCUUCAAUGUUUAUCUGCAUUGGAUCGUCUACGCCACCUUCUUUUCUCCCCCACCAUCCCUUCCUUAGCCCGCAAGCUAUGGGCGAGACUGUGUAGAACAUGCUACUAAGCCUGGGGAGAUGGCAUUGAUAAGGAAGCUUGAUGACAGUGAGUUCAGAAAUCCAUGGGCGAGGUCUUAUAUUCGUGUGAAAAUCUAUGAGGGGAGUCGAAGCCCAAGCAGAAGUUGAAGGAAAAACAGAAGUCCCAGAAAGAAUAGAUGUGAUUCAAUUGAAAAACCAAUCUCACGAUCAGCAUCUAUUUCUUCUAGAUCUCGAUCUGCCUCACAGUGAAAAUUUCAAGGUAUUUGCUUCAGAGUGGUUGCUCAUCAACCCUUUAAACAGAUGUCUAAAUUUACUCAAGGUCCAGAUCGAGAUCUGGUUAAAUGCUACAGGUGGGUAUGAUAUGGAGGAGAAGGCAGCAAAAACUUAUGAUUUGGCUGCAUUGAAGUACAGGGGAACAUCCACUCACAGUAAUUUCCCUACAUAAUCAACAUGGAAGAUGGCAAGCAAGAAGUGGAAGAGUUUCAGGAAACAAAGUCUUCUAUCUUGGAACAUUCAGUAAAAUAAGUACUGGUUGAUAGCUUUGAUUUCCUAAAAGAGGUUGGGCUUGGAUAAAUAUUGAAGUGCAUCUUGUGCUACUAUAUUAUUGGGGAAAUAAUUGUAUGACUGUGAAUUAUUUACCUACAAUAAUAUUCAUAUUUUUUGUUGUA
Dioscorea cayenensis subsp. rotundata (Guinea yam) is the source of this 849-nucleotide long non-coding RNA. RefSeq lists it as uncharacterized. NCBI's taxonomy places the organism in Eukaryota, Viridiplantae, Streptophyta, Magnoliopsida, Dioscoreales, Dioscoreaceae. The transcript has 9 exons. The record is from RefSeq and is a predicted model, not a curated record.